RNAcentral lists this ribosomal RNA (468 nucleotides) under uncultured bacterium. RNAcentral's name for it is "partial 16S ribosomal RNA". It matches the Rfam family "Bacterial small subunit ribosomal RNA", at positions 28 to 507 of the family's 1533-position model. The record is from RNAcentral.
GACGAACGCUGGCGGCGUGCUUAACACAUGCAAGUCGAACGGAAAGGCCCUGCUUUUGUGGGGUGCUCGAGUGGCGAACGGGUGAGUAACACGUGAGUAACCUGCCCUUGACUUUGGGAUAACUACAGGAAACUGGGGCUAAUACCGGAUAGGAGCUCCUGCUGCAUGGUGGGGGUUGGAAAGUUUCGGCGGUUGGGGAUGGACUCGCGGCUUAUCAGCUUGUUGGUGGGGUAGUGGCUUACCAAGGCUUUGACGGGUAGCCGGCCUGAGAGGGUGACCGGCCACAUUGGGACUGAGAGACGGCCCAGACUCCUACGGGAGGCAGCAGUGGGGAAUAUUGCACAAUGGGCGGAAGCCUGAUGCAACAACGCCGCGUGCGGGAUGACGGCCUUCGGGUUGUAAACCGCUUUCGCCUGUGACGAAGCGUGAGUGACGGUAAUGGGUAAAGAAGCACCGGCUAACUAUGUG